UUGUAAAGAAAUACAUGAGGUAGAGCUCUGCAGUUUGUCAUAGACACACCCAAGAAGUUCACAUUUUUUGCACAGAUUUGUGUUCUACAUGUAUGGCCUUGAAGGAAUUGUUUUAGGAAAGUGAUAGCCAAACAUUCCCCAGGAUUCAAACCAACAACCUUCAGAUAGAAAGAUUUACCUGUUGUGUAAACAGGAUGAGCUGGCUUGGUGAAAGGAAAAGAAAAGGAAAAUGACCUCAGGAAAGACAAGAUACAGCAGGUACAAGUUUUUAAGGCAUUCAUGGAAACAGAGUUCAGCAGCUUUUUGAAACAGCGUACCUUAUUUCUGCGAUGUCUUCCUUCUGAUGUUGAUGGGAUUUAUUUCUUCAUUUCUGUAUUCGCUGUUUGUUCAUUAAUUUCAAAUAGACAGCCUAGACACGGCACAAAUGGACAGACUGGAAGUUCUUGUGUACUACCCACUCAUGAGGAGUGUAUAUUUUGUCGUACAAAGAAGAUAAGGAACCAUUGAAGAACCAGGGACCGCCGCAAUGGGAAACACUUG
This is a long non-coding RNA of Mercenaria mercenaria, 540 nucleotides long. RefSeq lists it as uncharacterized. The record is from RefSeq and is a predicted model, not a curated record. The transcript is spliced from 5 exons. Lineage: Eukaryota; Metazoa; Mollusca; Bivalvia; Venerida; Veneridae.